Triticum aestivum (bread wheat) is the source of this 1373-nucleotide long non-coding RNA. RefSeq lists it as uncharacterized. The transcript is spliced from 4 exons. The record is from RefSeq and is a predicted model, not a curated record. Lineage: Eukaryota; Viridiplantae; Streptophyta; Magnoliopsida; Poales; Poaceae.
AGCCGAGACGCACCAUCUUAUCCUCAUCUCCCACCUCGCCUCCUCCCUGUCUCUGCUCAAAUCUCGCGUUCUCUUCGGCUCCAUGCCAAGUUCGUCCCCCCCCCCCCCCCCCCAAACACACACACACACACACAGAACACACACCACCCAUGGGUGGAUCGGCAACAACUGCAGGCUGGGGCGAUUGCGUUCUCUGCACUAAGUUCGUGGUGACGAUCGGUGGCAUUUUAUUCGAAUGAUCCCCUGUCGUCUCCCUUGGGUGGAUUUGGCGAAACUGCAGGCUGGGGGGCGUGCUCUUCUUCUCCGCCUGGAUCACGCUCGCGGGCUGGCGCCCCUCAAAAAGCUGGUGCGGCUGGCUCCUAACGGGUACCACAUGGACCGACAUGUAGCCGACCUACGUCCCAUUCCUGCUCCCAAUGACAGUAACGAGUUGUUCCUGUACCACGAGGGGUGGAAGAAGAUCGCUCAAUGGCAUGCCCGUGUUUUUCAUCCCACUGCAACAGCAGAAGCUACAAGAAGGUAAAGGCCUGCUUUGUCGUUUGUUAUGUAUGGUCAUGUAAAUCAAGCACUGCUACUUGCAGAGGUAAAAGAAACGAACGGCGGCAACGCACAAUGGCACAAAUCCAGAAAAAAAAUUGAUGACGACAAUUGAACUGUUGGCUCGCCUUUAAAUACCAGGCUCGACUGCCAUCAUCCACCGCAACUUCCCGACGCGUGAUUUGCCGCAGGCUGCUCCAAAAUCUGCUGCAGGGUGGAGGUACCAGAGUUAUGCACAUAGAAAUCAGCCCCAUCCGCUUGCUACAGAGUUAUCUGGUGGUAUCUCGAUCAUUCCACACGAGAUAAGCCCUGCCGCCAUCUUUGCUCACCUGAUUCGGAGCAGCAAUUUACUGCAGCUAGCGCAUGUAAUCAUGCCCACAUCCGGGUGAUUAUUUAUUGUGUAGAUGCACCCUAUUUUCUGACUUCCUGAGUUAUGGUGGAGCUUAGCUUUUAUGUGAGAUCGAAGGGAAUUCACUUCAGUGAUGGAUGAAAAAAUCAUUUGUGAGAGUUGGGUGUUUUAUGUAUUGUUAAUUGUUAAAGGAGAUUGAAAUUCCUGGCUUGGCGUUGGUGGUCAUAGUCUACGGCUCUCAAUUUUGUCCUCCUUCACAGAUUUAGUCCUUUACUAGCUUUCAGUGCUUCACUUUUGCCAUUGAAAAUGUAACCUUCAGGGAUUUUCAGAGAGCAACAUUCAGUGGUUCAUAUACAGGUCUGAUAGGUAUUGUGGCAUUCCAGUCCUUGGCCGUGGAGUUCAUUCUUGCAUAUGUAUUUUUUUAGUUCAUUCUUACAUAUGUAUUGUAUUCUUAGCAGCAAUAUUUUUUGAUGAUAUGUCCGACAUC